AGUGGGAUAACUGGGUCAAAUGGUAUUCCAAGUUUUCUGAGGAAUCUCCAUACUGCUUUCCAGAAUGGCUGCACAAAUUUGCAGUCCCACCAGCAGU
Molecule: microRNA precursor, 97 nt
Filed under: Marmota monax (woodchuck)
Lineage: Eukaryota; Metazoa; Chordata; Mammalia; Rodentia; Sciuridae
Source: RNAcentral